This is a long non-coding RNA of Papaver somniferum (opium poppy), 2391 nucleotides long. RefSeq lists it as uncharacterized. NCBI's taxonomy places the organism in Eukaryota, Viridiplantae, Streptophyta, Magnoliopsida, Ranunculales, Papaveraceae. The record is from RefSeq and is a predicted model, not a curated record. The transcript has 5 exons.
UUCUCUCAGAGCAAAAGACUCGAAGAAAAGAAAACCCAGACCAAAAAAGACCAUGCUGCUUCAUUUCCUCUUUCCAGUUUGAUGAUUAUUAUGCUGAUGGUGAACUUAAGAUAUAUAAUAUUGAAUUCGUGAAGGGAUGAAUCUUUUCAUCAGGGUUCUGAAGACAACUCAUUUUGGUAUGAUCAACAUGUCAUUCUGAGCAGAAUAACCUGUUACGGAUCAACAUAAGUGUCUGUGCAAGCCAUGGACUCGCUACAACUUAUCGAUCAAAUUAUGGAGCAGGAGAAUGUCUUGUGCUGCCAACCUCACCACCUUACGGACUUAUGCAACAGUUCAAAGUUCAUAUCUUUGUCAGUACUGAGCACAUCCAGUAGCCACAGCUAGAGGCUUGCAGAAUGACCAGCUUACAAAGUCCAAAGACACGGCUUGCAGAAUGACCAACUUACAAAGUCCAAAGACACAUACGACAUUCACAUCCCUGUGAACUAUACAAAGCCGCAACUGAAAGCUCGUAGCCCUGUGAACUAUACAAAGCUCGCAACUGAAAGAGUUCAACCGGUCAAGCUCUCAAUUUAUGAUCUGCAGACUCUUUACAACAGCAGUAGCAUUUGCAGCAGAGUGAGAAUGCCUACAGCAAUAACAAUAGCAUCACACAGCUUCAAAGGAUUAUCUUUAAAGCACGCAGUUUGUGCAAAAAGUUCUUUGUUUGAUUUUAUGCAGAGUGGCAGUAUCCUAUGGAGUUGCUGCUGCUGCUGUUCCUGUGACGCUAGGUAAUCAACCAAUGCAAGGUUGUUGUGGCCCAUUUGGUGCCAUGAAGUGCUGCGGAUGAUACCUACACAUGAACAAUGAUCAUGGUUAAGACACUUACAGGUAAAGAAAUUGAAUUGAUAAUGAACCAACUGACACCAUUGAUAGAAUCAAGGAGUGUGUUGAGGAGAAGGAAGAUAUCUCUCCUGUGCACCAGAGGUAUGUUAUUUCUUAAUUUCAGCUAAAUAUCUAAGUUGUCAUUAUGUUUCCAUGCUCCCUCACAAUAGUUUCUAAAGUUGCCCGUUUAUACUUUAAAGAUGCAGCUUUUUUUCUUACAUGUAGGUCUUGUAAUAAGUUCGACUCUAUGUUAAAUUCAACUUAUGAAUUCAGAAUCUGAGAUCCUUGUUGUUUCUCACUAACAUUGCUAAUUUGGUUUCUCAGUCAGAACUACCCAUUUUGCUUGUUUAAGUUAUAUUUGUCUCUCUUAUGCUCUAAAGCUAUAUCCCUGUAUUUGAAAGAAAAUCUGCUGCUGCUUUAGGGCGUCCUCCAGUUAGCUGAAGGCUGGGUUGUGAAAGUUGAAUAAAGGAAACUCGGAGUCUAUUGAUGUUUAGCAAAUUAUCUUAUUUCUUCGAGUGUAAAACGUUGUGCGAUGUGUGUGAAACUUAGUGUCUCAUUGGUAAUUUUAGUGUCUCUAUAUUGGUUUUGUUAAAUUAGUUUGCAGGCUUAUCUAUGCAGGAAAACAACUUGUUGAUGACAAAACUGCCAAAGACAACAACAUCGAGGGGGGGUUUCGUUCUUUUUUAGUGCUUUCCUUGAGGGGUGGUCUUUAAGGCUCUUACUUUUCAUAUGGGAAUGAUGUAUAUCAGAUUGUUCAUGGGAGUACUUGCAAACUAGCUAUGCUAUAUUUAGAUUUUUGUUUAUCAUGAAGUUUAUUCCGUUCUUCUCAUAAAGUUUAUCAUUUUACUACUGCUCUUCCACUGCCUGAAGCCUAUUUAGCAAGAAAGUGAGAUUGAUUUUGAGUGGGUUUCUGUUUUUUUUCUUCUUUUUUAUGUUGAAGAUAGUGCGAAGGGGAUCACUCAGUAGCCCACAUCAAAUGUGAAUAGUUAAGCUGGAUCUUGGAUAAGAAGAGACAUCGAAAAGAUGGGAGGCGCAGAAAUUGUCAAGGGUCUUUGCUGGUGAAGCCCUAUGAUAAUUUGGUCUUAUCUGCUUUUACGUAUGCCUAGUUGAGUUUGAAGAAUAUCGCCGGUUCAGUUUUGGAAACAGACAUGCGAUAAAUGGUGGUGAACGAGAAGCACCAAAUUUGAGCUUUACCCUGAAGCUGCUUAUCAUGAAUCCAAAGCCACUACUAUGCCACCUGCUAGUGUUAUGACUAGCUCAUUUUGAUUAUGGUGUGGCGGAAACUCAUCAUAAAUCCAAGCACUUAAGUAUCAUUGGUCUCACCUGGUCUCUAGUAUCUUACAGGCUCUUCACCAUCUUGGUUGUAUUUACGAGAUGAGAAUUCGACAUCAUCGUGUGAUCAUCCUCUCAAAACCACAAUAAUUUGCGAUAUUCGGAUUACUCACUGUAAGAACUUGUAACAUUUCAUUUCUAUAUGCAAUCCUUAGAAGAUAAAGCGAACAUGGUUGCACCAACACAAUGUAAGAA